RNAcentral lists this long non-coding RNA (2857 nucleotides) under Gallus gallus (chicken). Its description in RNAcentral is "lncRNA (ENSGALG00010026503.1)". The record is from RNAcentral. Lineage: Eukaryota; Metazoa; Chordata; Aves; Galliformes; Phasianidae.
AGAUGGACACAGCAUGCAUGAAUAUGGAUAGACUGACAUGGGAUGGAUGGAUACAGGGCGGGUGGACACGAGGUGGGAUGACGUGGGACGGGCAGACAUAGGAUGGAAGGGUAUGGAUAGAUGGACGUGGGACAGGUGGACACUGGGUGGAUAUGGGAUGGGCAGACAAGGGGUGGUGGAUGGACAUGGGUGGACAGAUAUGGGAUGGAUGGAAUAUGGGAUGGGCAGACAUGGGAUGGAUGGACAUGGGAUGGACAGAUAUGGGAUAGGUAGAAAUGGGAUGGAUGGAUAUGGGAUGGACAGACAUGGGAUGGAUGGACAUGGGAUGGACAGAUAUGGGAUGGACAGAUAUGGGAUGGAUGGGCAUGGGAUGGACAGAUAUGGGAUAGGUAGAAAUGGGAUGGAUGGAUAUGGGAUGGACAGACAUGGGAUGGAUGGACAUGGGAUGGACAGAUAUGGGAUGGACAGAUAUGGGAUGGAUGGGCAUGGGAUGGACAGAUAUGGCAUGGGUAGAAAUGGAUGGAUAUGGGAUGGAUGGACAUGGGAUGGAUGGAAUAUGGGAUGGGCAGACAUGGGAUGGAUGGAUAUGGGAUGGAUGGAUGGAUAUGAAUGGAUGGGUAGGCAUUGGGUGGACCUGCGAUGGGUGGACAUGGGAUGGAUGGUAUGGGAUGGAUGGAUAUGGGAUGGAUGGGUAUGGGAUGGAUGGACACAGUGGAUGGAUAGAUAUGAAGGGAUGGGUAGACAUUGGGUGGACUUGGGAUCGGUGGACAUGGGAUGGAUGGGUAUGGGAUGGAUGGACAUGGGAUGGAUGGGUAUGGAAUGAUGGAUAUGGGCUUGAUGGAUAUGGGAUGGAUGGACAUGAAAAGCUAACAAGGGCCAGAUGGACGUGGGGGGGUGGCCCAGCACCCCACCUCCCUCCUCGCACCCAUCAGUGCUGCGGUACCCCCACCCAGCACCCACCCGCCCCAUCCCCGCACCCCCCGUGCCCCACAUCCCCCUCCCCACGGCGCCCAUCCAUGCUGGCUUUUCCGGCCCAGCUGUCCCGCGGGGCGCGGGGGCCGGGGCAGGAAUUCGGCCGGGGCUGAGCAGCGCGCGGCAGCUCCGGAGACAGAGCAGCCUCUGAAUGCAGGGAAUGUUUUUGCAGCUGGAGUCCAUUAGGGGAGGGCUCGGCGGCUUUAUUAAUCCCAGCCUUAUUGCUCAAGAGGCGCGGGAGGGCAGGGGGAGCGCGGGGUGCGCGCAGGGGGGGAGAGCGGCCGUGAGGGGGGGUGUGGGGGGCAUAAAGAGCAGUGAGUGUGCGAGGAGGGUCUCCCUGACGACGGCCGUCCCUCCGCCGCGGGGCUUUUCUGCACCACGGAGGCUGCCCCUCUGCAGAGGUUUCCCCGCAGUGGAGGUUUCCCCCGUUAUGGAGCCGUCCCCGUGACGGAGGUUUCCCCAUCACUGAGGUUCCCCCACGGUGGGGUUCCCUCUAUGGCAGAGGUUCCCCCGUUCUGGGCACUCCCGCACGGCAGAUGGUGGAAAUAUCCUCCUGGUGAAGGUCUCCCCAAUCGCGGAGGUUCCUCCCUGCUGGAGGUGUCCCCACAGCGGAGGUUUGUCCUACAGUGGAGCUUUCCUCCUUGAUGGAGCCUUCCCCGCUGAUGGACGUUCCCCCAUUAUUGAGGCUCCCCCACGAUGGAGGCUUCUUCACAGUAGGGUCCCACCGAGAUGGAGGUCCCCCAUCGGUUUCCCCGUGACAGAGGUUUCCCAUAACCGGGGUUCCCCUGUGGUGGAGGUUUCCCCAUUAGGGAUGUUUCCCCGUCACUGAGGUUUCUCUGCAAUGGAGGAUCCCAUUGAUGGAGGGUCCCCUUAACGGAGCUUCCUCCCAUGAUGGAGGCUCCACUGAUGGAGGUUCCCCCAUUGAUAGAGGUUCCCCCAUUGAUGGAGGUACUCCCCAUAAGCGCGGUUCCCACUGACUGAGGUUCCCACUGAUGGAGGUUCCCAUUGAUGGAGGUUCCCAUUGAUGGAGGUUCCCACUGAUGGAUGUUCCCACUGGUGGAUGUUCCCACUGAUGAAGGCUCCCAUUGAUGGAGGCUCCCCAGCGCAGCCCCCCACCCUGGCAGGCUAUGGGGCAGAGCAGCACCGGGAGGAGAAGCAGUGGGGCAGCGGUGUCGGGUUUGUGCAGACGUGGAGCUGUGUGUGGGGCUGAGCCCCCCGCGCUGCCCCCCGCCUGCGCUCCCCUUCCUCUGCUUUGAUUUCUCAUUUCUCUUUUCUUGUUUCUUUUUAUGAUUUUUCCUUUCUUUUUUUUUCUUUUUCUUUGUUUCAUUUCCCCCCUUUUCCUCUUUCUUUUUAUUUAUUCUUUUUCCUCUCUUUUCCUUUUUCUCAUUUCUUUUGGCUUUUCCUUCUUUUCCUUUUUCUUCCUCAUUUUUCCUUUUGUUGCUUUUUCUUUCCAUCUUUUUUUCCUUUUUUUCCUUUCUUUCCUUUUUUCUUUUCUCACUUUUUUAGUUAUUUUCCUCUAUUUUUUCUGGUUUCUUCUUUCCUUUGAUUUUAUUUUUAUUUUUCUCUCUUUUUUUUCCCAAUUUUCUCUCCGUUUUUCUUUUUCCCAAUUUUUCUUCCCCCCCCUUUUUUCCCUCUGUUUUUUCUUCCUCCCUCUCCCUCCUCUUCCUCCCCCCCCCCCGCUCCUUUCUCUCUCUCUCCCAUUUCUCUCCGUCCCCCUCCCCAUUUUCCUCCCCUCCUCCAAAGCCGCUCCGCCAUAGCGGUGUCUCCGCACCCCAAACCCAACGGCGCACACCGCCCGUCCCGCCCCACCCCCGUUCGUUCCCGCAGCCCCACCUGCGCCCCCCCCGACCCCAAACGGCUGCAGCGGAGGAACGAAACGCCCCCG